This 425-nucleotide ribosomal RNA is filed under the name uncultured bacterium. Its description in RNAcentral is "partial 16S ribosomal RNA". It matches the Rfam family "Bacterial small subunit ribosomal RNA", at positions 354 to 796 of the family's 1533-position model. The record is from RNAcentral.
GUGGGGAAUAUUGGACAAUGGGGGGAACCCUGAUCCAGCCAUGCCGCGUGUGUGAAGAAGGCCUUCGGGUUGUAAAGCUCUUUAGUCCACGAAUAUAAUGACUGUAGUGGAAGAAUAAGCCCCGGCUAACUUCGUGCCAGCAGCCGCGGUAAUACGAAGGGGGCGAGCGUUAUUCGGAAUCACUGGGCGUAAAGCGUGCGUAGGCUGUUUUGUAAGUCAGAAGUGAAAGCCCAGGGCUUAACCCUGGAAUUGCUUUUGAAACUACAAGACUCGAAUUCGGGAGAGGAUAGCGGAAUUGUCAGUGUAGCAGUGAAAUGCGUAGAUAUUGACAGGAACACCAGUGGCGCAAGCGGCUAUCUGGACCGAUAUUGACGCUGAGGCACGAAAGCGUGGGGAGCAAACAGGAUUAGAAACCCGAGUAGUCC